UGUCCCAGAACCUAAUACAUUUGAAUGAUCCACCAGCUGGGCCUCUUGCCCCAUAUGCCAGACUGGGGACCCCUGCUGAAGCACCCAGCACCUUAAGAUAUGGAAGGCACAAGAGACAGCCAUCACCCUGACUCUCACUGUGGAUCAACAUGCUAUGCUGCUGAGAACACCAAGUCCCCUCAUGGCUGGGAAAGGCAUUAUCUACUGGGAUUUGCAAUGGGUCACACUGUCAGGAUGUGUGAAUUACUCCCCCCGCCCCCAUCCCCAGAAUGGGUCUCCACUGAGAUUCUGUUUUCUUGCUGUAAGCUGGACUUGUAGAAAUGCACCGUACUUGGAAUGGAACAUGCAUGCACGAUUCGAAGACGGGAGAAGGUGGGAAUUCUGGUCUGGCUUAUCACUUCCCCUGUCUACUUCUUCAUGACUGACAGUGCUGCUUCCUCUGGUCAACAUGUAUGGGAUGUACAGUCAGGUCAAGUUCCUAAAGCUGCAGUCCCAUAAACAUCUAAGGAUCAAGCCACAAGUGUAAUUCUUGCAGAAGAGGAAGCCCUUCUCACCCAGGAAGCCACCAAAUCAGCCUCCUCCAUGCUAGUGAAACCCCUUGCUAACUGCUCAGGGCACCUCGUGGAAGAUGCGAGUGUGUAAGAUCCUAAGAUUGUCAUCAGGGGUGGAAUGUCAGAGGAGUCAUCAAGAGGACAUGAUGUGGGAGCUGUUUUCAAGGACUCAGCCUUGAGGGAUCACUACGCUGUUGUGUUGGGAGGACUCUGUAUGUGACUAUCCCCAGCGAAGGCCUCUCACCUUGUAAGAUGCUGGCAGGUGAUUGCAGAGGGAUACUCAUUUUGCAGCCUCCUAAAACAAGCCUUGUGUGUAAGUUUUUUUCCUUAU
Molecule: long non-coding RNA, 882 nt
Organism: Hyaena hyaena (striped hyena)
Lineage: Eukaryota; Metazoa; Chordata; Mammalia; Carnivora; Hyaenidae
Exons: 3
Source: RefSeq, a predicted model, not a curated record